RNAcentral lists this non-coding RNA (81 nucleotides) under Chloroflexota bacterium. Its description in RNAcentral is "Chloroflexi bacterium c-di-GMP-II sequence". It matches the Rfam family "Cyclic di-GMP-II riboswitch aptamer". The record is from RNAcentral. Lineage: Bacteria; Bacillati; Chloroflexota.
AGGGAACGGGGGAGCGCUGAACCACUGUCUUUAACUGGUCACUUGGGCAGUGGGGAGCUAAUAGUGAAACCGACCUUCCCA